AAUGAACGCUGGCGGCAUGCCUAACACAUGCAAGUCGAACGAGACCUUCGGGUCUAGUGGCGCACGGGUGCGUAACGCGUGGGAAUCUGCCCUUGGGUUCGGAAUAACUCCGGGAAACCGGGGCUAAUUCCAGAUGAUACCGAAAGGUCAAAGUUUCGACGCCCAAGGAUGAGCUUGCGUCUGAUUAGCUAGUUGGCGGGGUAAUGGCCCACCAAGGCGACGAUCAGUAGCCGGUCNGAGAGGAUGAUCGGCCACAUUGGGACUGAGACACGGCCCAGACUCCUACGGGAGGCAGCAGUAAGGAAUAUUGCGCAAUGGACGAAAGUCUGACGCAGCAACGCCGCGUGCAGGAUGACGGCCCUUUGGGUUGUAAACUGCUGUAGCAGGGGAAUAAGAGCCCACUC
Molecule: ribosomal RNA, 404 nt
Filed under: uncultured bacterium
Lineage: Bacteria
Description: bacterial SSU rRNA
Rfam family: Bacterial small subunit ribosomal RNA
Source: RNAcentral